GGCGUGCCUAAUACAUGCAAGUCGAGCGAACAGACGAGGAGCUUGCUCCUUUGACGUUAGCGGCGGACGGGUGAGUAACACGUGGAUAACCUACCUAUAAGACUGGGAUAACUUCGGGAAACCGGAGCUAAUACCGGAUAACAUGUUGAACCGCAUGGUUCAACAGUGAAAGACGGUCUUGCUGUCACUUAUAGAUGGAUCCGCGCCGCAUUAGCUAGUUGGUAAGGUAACGGCUUACCAAGGCAACGAUGCGUAGCCGACCUGAGAGGGUGAUCGGCCACACUGGAACUGAGACACGGUCCAGACUCCUACGGGAGGCAGCAGUAGGGAAUCUUCCGCAAUGGGCGAAAGCCUGACGGAGCAACGCCGCGUGAGUGAAGAAGGUCUUCGGAUCGUAAAACUCUGUUAUUAGGGAAGAACAAAUGUGUAAGUAACUAUGCACGUCUUGACGGUACCUAAUCAGAAAGCCACGGCUAACUACGUGCCAGCAGCCGCGGUAAUACGUAGGUGGCAAGCGUUAUCCGGAAUUAUUGGGCGUAAAGCGCGCGUAGGCGGUUUUUUAAGUCUGAUGUGAAAGCCCACGGCUCAACCGUGGAGGGUCAUUGGAAACUGGAAAACUUGAGUGCAGAAGAGGAAAGUGGAAUUCCAUGUGUAGCGGUGAAAUGCGCAGAGAUAUGGAGGAACACCAGUGGCGAAGGCGACUUUCUGGUCUGUAACUGACGCUGAUGUGCGAAAGCGUGGGGAUCAAACAGGAUUAGAUACCCUGGUAGUCCACGCCGUAAACGAUGAGUGCUAAGUGUUAGGGGGUUUCCGCCCCUUAGUGCUGCAGCUAACGCAUUAAGCACUCCGCCUGGGGAGUACGACCGCAAGGUUGAAACUCAAAGGAAUUGACGGGGACCCGCACAAGCGGUGGAGCAUGUGGUUUAAUUCGAAGCAACGCGAAGAACCUUACCAAAUCUUGACAUCCUCUGACCCCUCUAGAGAUAGAGUUUUCCCCUUCGGGGGACAGAGUGACAGGUGGUGCAUGGUUGUCGUCAGCUCGUGUCGUGAGAUGUUGGGUUAAGUCCCGCAACGAGCGCAACCCUUAAGCUUAGUUGCCAUCAUUAAGUUGGGCACUCUAAGUUGACUGCCGGUGACAAACCGGAGGAAGGUGGGGAUGACGUCAAAUCAUCAUGCCCCUUAUGAUUUGGGCUACACACGUGCUACAAUGGACAAUACAAAGGGUAGCGAAACCGCGAGGUCAAGCAAAUCCCAUAAAGUUGUUCUCAGUUCGGAUUGUAGUCUGCAACUCGACUACAUGAAGCUGGAAUCGCUAGUAAUCGUGGAUCAGCAUGCUACGGUGAAUACGUUCCCGGGUCUUGUACACACCGCCCGUCACACCACGAGAGUUUGUAACACCCGAAGCCGGUGGAGUAACCUUUUGGAGCUAGCCGUCGAAGGUGGGACAAAUGAUUGGGGUGAAGUAAU
This 1467-nucleotide ribosomal RNA is filed under the name uncultured organism. RNAcentral describes it as "SSU rRNA". It matches the Rfam family "Bacterial small subunit ribosomal RNA". The record is from RNAcentral.